UUCCGUAACUUACAACCCAUCUUCUCCUUCAUAACCCCCGGGCCUUUGAUCAUCAUGUUCUUGUUUUUGUUAGAAAAAAAAGGGAGACCUAUCCCUAACUUGUCCGCCUCUUCUCCCAUCUCCUCAUCACAUUCUGAUUGUGCACUAAAUCACUUCUCCUUUUAGGGAUCUUCAGAGAGUAUGAAGAUCUGUGGGUACUUUUGAUGAUCAUGGACAUUGAAUUAGGUAUGGAAGUGCAGCAAUUGCAGUGCCUUACAGACCUCCUAGGAAAACCCCCAUGCACUGUAAUUUUAGAAGGUUGAAACCAUUGUUUCUUCCAAAGUUAACCACACCUAGAGUGUGAAUAGUAUUGAUAAAUAAUAUUUGACCAAAGUGUCUAGUGUAUAAACAUUACUGUCGUAGGAGGAUUCGAGCUUUUAUCCUUCUCUUUGCAUUCUUGUGUCUACCAUUGGGCUAUUCAAUGGCUGACUAAUUCCCCCCAAUUACAUAAGGCUGGUUCCCACAUGAAUUUUUGUUGGCGUUACUACUGUCUUCUCUGUAAUUUCGGUGUUUCAUUGAUCUUUGCAUUUAAGGUACCGUUUGGUUGUAUGUAACUGUAAACGCAGUGGAUUUGUAGUUACAAUGUAACUGUAAAUACUUUAAUUUUAAAAUUCAGUGUAGUCAAAUCUGGUGUUUAGUUGUCUGUAAUUGGAGAUGCUGCAUAUGCAAAUUUUAUGUUUUAUUGGAGGAAUAUGUAAACCUGGAAUUUGAAAAUAUGUGUUUGACUUGAUGGAUUAUA
Dioscorea cayenensis subsp. rotundata (Guinea yam) is the source of this 778-nucleotide long non-coding RNA. RefSeq lists it as uncharacterized. The record is from RefSeq and is a predicted model, not a curated record. The transcript is spliced from 3 exons. NCBI's taxonomy places the organism in Eukaryota, Viridiplantae, Streptophyta, Magnoliopsida, Dioscoreales, Dioscoreaceae.